This 253-nucleotide ribosomal RNA is filed under the name uncultured bacterium. Its description in RNAcentral is "partial 16S ribosomal RNA". It matches the Rfam family "Bacterial small subunit ribosomal RNA", at positions 524 to 776 of the family's 1533-position model. The record is from RNAcentral.
UACGAAGGGGGCUAGCGUUGCUCGGAAUUACUGGGCGUAAAGCGCACGUAGGCGGUCUUUUAAGUCGGGGGUGAAAUCCUGGAGCUCAACUCGAGAACUGCCUUCGAUACUGGAAGACUUGAGUCCGGGAGAGGUGAGUGGAACUGCGAGUGUAGAGGUGAAAUUCGUAGAUAUUCGCAAGAACACCAGUGGCGAAGGCGGCUCACUGGCCCGGUACUGACGCUGAGGUGCGAAAGCGUGGGGAGCAAACAGG